UAGAAGAAAAAAAAAAGAAAAAAAAAAAAAGAAAAAAAAAACAGCCCAAGCUCAGUGAUCAUGGUUAACAUGUGAGAUGGAACAAAGGAAGUCUGUGGCCUUCUUGCUGCAUUGGUUUUGCUUGCAUCUCUGUGUAAAGAAACUGCCUCAUAGCAGGUAUAUCAAAAGGAAAAAACGGUGGUUUCAGUUCUUUAUGUCUCAUACUCCAGUCUCUGGAGUUCUUCUGUAGGCUGUAUGUUGUUAAUGCUAAUUGUGAUAGGGGUUUUUACCUCUGACUGACUCCUACAUGUUAGCAUUAACACUGUAUCAUGCCUCUUACCAGAAUUCACAUGGAACAAAGUGCUGCUGUGGGAGGAGAACAGAAAUCAUGAAUCAGUCACUACCACACCGAGAAAACCUCCACUCUACUUGUAAAAAGACAAGUUGUUCUGCAUACAGACAUGCUUGCUAGACUGUUUGCUAGGUUUAAAGGCACUGGAAAAAGUAGGGAAAAAAAGCAUCUUUGUGUAUCAAUAAAUCCUUCGUAGGAUGUAGAAUGUGUAAUAUUCUGAGCUCAGCAACCGGUUUUUAUUUUGUUUUACUGCUUUUCAGGUUUUCUGUUUUUAUUUCCAACACAAAUAUUUCAUUAUUUCAUUUUAUUUAGGAAAGAAAUUCGAUAAAUUAAACUUUUGGCAU
Cygnus olor (mute swan) is the source of this 675-nucleotide long non-coding RNA. RefSeq lists it as uncharacterized. The record is from RefSeq and is a predicted model, not a curated record. Lineage: Eukaryota; Metazoa; Chordata; Aves; Anseriformes; Anatidae. The transcript has 2 exons.